CACCUAGUCACUGUUCACAUUACCCCUAAUAUCUGAACCAAUUAUUCUAUUUAGAAAUAAAAUAAAUAGAACUUCUUCAUCACUCAGUGAUGAAGUAGAAUGAUGUCUACUAUUUAUAGACAUUGUGUGUAAUGGAAAAGCCUGAAUGCAAGUAUAGUCCCUGUCCUUUGUCCCUUAAAAUGCCCAAACCACCUCUCUCGUACUUACAGCCAGAUCUCCCUCACUGACAACAAUGUUUUUGUACGUAUAGCCAGAACUCCCUCAUUGAUAAUGUUUUUGUACUUAUAGCCAGAACAUACACAGACUACAUUUUUUUUGGGGUAUGUUUGUAAUAUCUCCCCCCACAAAAACAUUAUCUCAACGAAACUUAUCUUCACUAUAAUGAAAUGAUUUUGAUGCAUAGAUCCAGACCCUGCUCAGCACUGUUGUCAUGUUUACUUCCCACAACCAUAGUGGUAGUCAGUCAGAUAGCCAAAGUAGGGUCUCUGGUGGGGUGUGUGCCCACUGCUUCUUUG
Pelobates cultripes (western spadefoot toad) is the source of this 515-nucleotide non-coding RNA. The record is from the annotation of a GenBank genome assembly. NCBI's taxonomy places the organism in Eukaryota, Metazoa, Chordata, Amphibia, Anura, Pelobatidae.